AAGGAUGACGGGCCUGUCUAAUUGCAGGAAAACAAACUCAGGGCUCCCACUGAUUCUACAUUACGGAGGAUCUCAUUUCUGUACCCUGCCCUGGAAGUUGGCAAAAAAUAAAUACCUGGAGUGGGAUUGCUAGAUCACAUGGAAAACACAGAUCCUGGUGCCGAACAUGAGGACAGGGCAGGCCGAAGGAGAAAGUGGAAGGAGGGGAGCUUCUCUCUCAGCCUCAUCCUUCUGGGCCUGGAUGCUGGAGAGUCAUGAGGUGCUUCAGAGUACUCUGGGUGAGGAGGGAAAGAUGGUGCCCACCACAUGGAGGCCAGCCUAGGUCUUGUAUGAAACCUGUGAGCUAGCUGAAAGCAGAGAACCCAGCAGAGGAUUCUGGGAAGGUCCUGGGGGAUGGCAGAGCCAGCAGAGAGAGGGUAUGGAUCCACCAGGCAUAGGAUGGAACAGAGCACUAUUGACCACAGUGAACUGGGGCAUGGGCAAUCAAUAAACACAUAUUAGAUUAA
Homo sapiens (human) is the source of this 506-nucleotide long non-coding RNA. Ensembl annotates it as ZBED3 antisense RNA 1. Its record names the gene ZBED3-AS1. NCBI's taxonomy places the organism in Eukaryota, Metazoa, Chordata, Mammalia, Primates, Hominidae. The record is from Ensembl.